CCUACGGGAGGCAGCAGUGGGGAAUUUUGCGCAAUGGGGGCAACCCUGACGCAGCAACGCCGCGUGGAGGAUGAAGUCCCUUGGGACGUAAACUCCUUCGAUCGGGACGAUUAUGACGGUACCGAGAGAAGAAGCCCCGGCUAACUUCGUGCCAGCAGCCGCGGUAAU
This 168-nucleotide ribosomal RNA is filed under the name uncultured bacterium. RNAcentral's name for it is "partial 16S rRNA". It matches the Rfam family "Bacterial small subunit ribosomal RNA", at positions 338 to 524 of the family's 1533-position model. The record is from RNAcentral.